CCUACGGGUGGCUGCAGUGGGGAAUAUUGGACAAUGGGCGAAAGCCUGAUCCAGCCAUGCCGCGUGUGUGAAGAAGGCCUUCGGGUUGUAAAGCACUUUCAGUGGGGAAGAAAGCCUUGGGGCUAAUACCCUCGAGGAAGGACAUCACCCACAGAAGAAGCACCGGCUAACUCCGUGCCAGCAGCCGCGGUAAUAUGGAGGGUGCGAGCGUUAAUCGGAAUUACUGGGCGUAAAGCGCGCGUAGGCGGUCUGAUAAGCCGGUUGUGAAAGCCCCGGGCUCAACCUGGGAACGGCAUCCGGAACUGUCAGGCUAGAGUGCAGGAGAGGAAGGUAGAAUUCCCGGUGUAGCAGUGAAAUGCGUAGAGAUCGGGAGGAAUACCAGUGGCGAAGGCGGCCUUCUGGACUGACACUGACGCUGAGGUGCGAAAGCGUGGGUAGCAAACAGGAUUAGAUACCCUGGUAGUC
This 465-nucleotide ribosomal RNA is filed under the name Vreelandella stevensii. RNAcentral describes it as "partial 16S ribosomal RNA". It matches the Rfam family "Bacterial small subunit ribosomal RNA", at positions 338 to 795 of the family's 1533-position model. Lineage: Bacteria; Pseudomonadati; Pseudomonadota; Gammaproteobacteria; Oceanospirillales; Halomonadaceae. The record is from RNAcentral.